GACGAACGCUGGCGGCGUGCCUAACACAUGCAAGUCGAACGAAGCACUUCUGAAUGGAGAUUCGUCAAAGUUCAGAUUUGACUUAGUGGCGGACGGGUGAGUAAUGCAUGAGCAACCUGCCCUGCAGUGGGGGACAACAGUUGGAAACGACUGCUAAUACCGCAUGAUGUAUCUGGAAGGCAUCUUCCGGAUACCAAAGAUUUAUCGCUGUGGGAUGGGCUCAUGUCUGAUUAGUUAGUUGGUGGGGUAACGGCCUACCAAGACUGCGAUCAGUAGCCGGACUGAGAGGUUGAACGGCCACAUUGGGACUGAGAUACGGCCCAGACUCCUACGGGAGCAGCAGUGGGAAUAUUGGGCAAUGGGCGAAAGCCUGACCCAGCAACGCCGCGUGAAGGAAGAAGGUCUUCGGAUUGUAAACUUCUUUUAUGAGGGACGAAGGAAGUGACGGUACCUCAUGAAUAAGCCACGGCUAACUACGUGCCAGCACG
RNAcentral lists this ribosomal RNA (488 nucleotides) under uncultured bacterium. RNAcentral describes it as "bacterial SSU rRNA". It matches the Rfam family "Bacterial small subunit ribosomal RNA", at positions 28 to 515 of the family's 1533-position model. The record is from RNAcentral.